CGUUAUGGAAUGCUCAACCAAGA
RNAcentral lists this small nuclear RNA (23 nucleotides) under Arabidopsis thaliana (thale cress). RNAcentral's name for it is "snRNA_14012". The record is from RNAcentral. Lineage: Eukaryota; Viridiplantae; Streptophyta; Magnoliopsida; Brassicales; Brassicaceae.